RNAcentral lists this ribosomal RNA (431 nucleotides) under uncultured bacterium. RNAcentral's name for it is "partial 16S ribosomal RNA". It matches the Rfam family "Bacterial small subunit ribosomal RNA", at positions 29 to 507 of the family's 1533-position model. The record is from RNAcentral.
AACGAACGCUGGCGGCAGGCUUAACACAUGCAAGUCGAGCGCCCCGCAAGGGGAGCGGCAGACGGGUGAGUAACGCGUGGGAACGUACCUUUUGGUUCGGAACAACUCCGGGAAACUGGAGCUAAUACCGGAUAAGCCCUAACGGGGAAAGAUUUAUCGCCGAAAGAUCGGCCCGCGUCUGAUUAGCUAGUUGGUGAGGUAACGGCUCACCAAGGCGACGAUCAGUAGCUGGUCUGAGAGGAUGAUCAGCCACACUGGGACUGAGACACGGCCCAGACUCCUACGGGUGGCAGCAGUGGGGAAUAUUGGACAAUGGGCGCAAGCCUGAUCCAGCCAUGCCGCGUGAGUGAUGAAGGCCUUAGGGUUGUAAAGCUCUUUUGUCCGGGAAGAUAAUGACUGUACCGGAAGAAUAAGCCCCGGCUAACUUCGUG